GUUUGAUGAUAGUAAGUCAAUCGCGAAGCUAGGGCUUGAACCUCUCCCAAGCUUGACAAAAUUUUUCACCAUCCUUUUGCUUGAAACAUACAAUCCCACUUCUCAAUUU
This is a non-coding RNA of Capsicum annuum, 109 nucleotides long. The record is from Rfam. NCBI's taxonomy places the organism in Eukaryota, Viridiplantae, Streptophyta, Magnoliopsida, Solanales, Solanaceae.